UGGAGAUGGGAGGGGUACUCGUGGUCGGGCGCAUCGAACGAGCCGCUCGAGACGCCGUCGAAGCUCUGGAUCGUAUGAAUGUGGCAGCCGCUUGGGCAGUGAUGGAGCAGCAGUGACCAGGACAGAGCGGAGGGACCGAGCGUGCCGUCUUGCUCGUCGGUAGCCCCUCCCGAGAAAUUGAUCACAUCGCCCACCUUCCAUCUGGUUUCGUUGGUCG
RNAcentral lists this unclassified non-coding RNA (217 nucleotides) under uncultured fungus. RNAcentral describes it as "sequence contains ITS1". The record is from RNAcentral. Lineage: Eukaryota; Fungi.